GAUGAACGCUGGCGGCGUGCCUAAUACAUGCAAGUCGAGCGAACGGACGAGAAGCUUGCUUCUCUGAUGUUAGCGGCGGACGGGUGAGUAACACGUGGAUAACCUACCUAUAAGACUGGGAUAACUUCGGGAAACCGGAGCUAAUACCGGAUAAUAUUUUGAACCGCAUGGUUCAAAAGUGAAAGACGGUCUUGCUGUCACUUAUAGAUGGAUCCGCGCUGCAUUAGCUAGUUGGUAAGGUAACGGCUUACCAAGGCAACGAUGCAUAGCCGACCUGAGAGGGUGAUCGGCCACACUGGAACUGAGACACGGUCCAGACUCCUACGGGAGGCAGCAGUAGGGAAUCUUCCGCAAUGGGCGAAAGCCUGACGGAGCAACGCCGCGUGAGUGAUGAAGGUCUUCGGAUCGUAAAACUCUGUUAUUGGGGAAGAACAUAUGUGUAAGUAACUGUGCACAUCUUGACGGUACCUAAUCAGAAAGCCGCGGCUAACUACGU
RNAcentral lists this ribosomal RNA (496 nucleotides) under uncultured bacterium. Its description in RNAcentral is "partial 16S ribosomal RNA". It matches the Rfam family "Bacterial small subunit ribosomal RNA", at positions 28 to 506 of the family's 1533-position model. The record is from RNAcentral.